UACAGAGGCCCCAAGCGUUAGGCGGAAUCACUGGGCUUAAAGCGUGUGUAGGCGGAUCGUUAAGUGUCUUGUGAAAUCCCACGGCUCACCCGUGGAACUGCUGGGCAUACUGGCGAUCUUGGGCCAACUAGGGGCAGUCGGAACAAGCGGUGGAGCGGUGAAAUGCGUAGAUAUCGCUUGGAACGCCGAAGGUGAAAACAGACUGCUGGGGUUGCGCCGACGCUGAGACACGAAAGCCAGGGGAGCAAACGGG
RNAcentral lists this ribosomal RNA (253 nucleotides) under uncultured bacterium. Its description in RNAcentral is "partial 16S ribosomal RNA". It matches the Rfam family "Bacterial small subunit ribosomal RNA", at positions 524 to 776 of the family's 1533-position model. The record is from RNAcentral.